AAAAAAACCGUCAGUCAUCAUCUCCACUGCCGCCUCAGAUUCUUCUCUGGAUAGUUCCCCACCACUCCCUCACAAUCUCCUCCGUUCCCCAUUCUCUCCACCAUAGCCAGCGCUCCCUGGUCAGGCCGCCCCCUCCCCUUCGUCACCAUCGCCGGCGCUCCCUGGUCAGGCUGUCCUCCCCUUCGUCACCAGCGCGGCCGCUCUCUCACACCCCGUAGGUCAAAGGUUGAAUUUUUAUCCGCUGCUGAUGGUGCUGCUGGGCGAGGAGGCGCUGGAUGCGCGUGCGCCGGCGCUGGAUCUGCUCCGUCUGGCUCCGGCGACCUUACCCCGUGGCUCCGGGACAGGAAGGCUACCCCGACGACAUACAGCAACUGGACUCUAUGCACAGCGAGGAGGAUGAAGACACCUAGCCAUGGAUUUUUAGCAGCACUCACUCAAGGAAAAAGAGACCUCAACACGCCAAUGGAUGCAGCCAGCCUCCAACUCACCACGCACCUGCACCAACUUGAUGUAGGGAGAGGAGGAGUGAGGCUUCUCUCACGGGAUGACGCCCAGCCAUGGGGCAGCAACAAUCCAAGAUUGCUGUCAAAAUAAGCCUAAAUUCAGAGUCUUCGGAAGUCAAUUACUUUGAGCCUUUGAGUUAGGAGGUAUACCAGUCUCUUUGUAGUUUGCUCUUAAUAAACUCUUCCCUUGGCCAUGAUGAGAUGUUUAAGUCUUUCCACUUAUCAGUUUUUAGUUCCACUUGAAGCGAUGCAUAUUCGAAUACAUUUUCUAGUCCUUUGAGCUGUUGAAUGAAUAAAUGAAAAAGUAUUAGCAUCACAACCGAACAAUAACAGAAAUCGUGUUAUCAAAAGAUGGUGUAGUGGGACUAAUGACUAACCAUAGCGGUGAGGUCUUUGCGGCUCAUUCCUGGGCCUAGCGAGUCGAGCACCUGGAUGCAUCGCUGCCCGGCAUUUAUAACUGCUAGGUACCAAUGGAAGUGUUCAAUGUUAACUGGAAUGUAUAUCUGAAAAUAGGGUUUUUGUUAGUUUAGGUCCCAUCUAUACAAACAUUUAUAUGGAACUGAGACUCACCAUAUCAUGUUCCAAAUAAGUUAUAGCCAAUUCAAUUGGGGCAUAGAUAAUGAAAUUUGAUCAUCAUUACCUUGUGAUACAGCUAGCUGUGCCGGUGUUCCGUUAUGUAGGCCAUCUAUUUCCUCACUGGUAUUUUUUUUUCUUUUGUAGGCUUCACGCCUUCUCUUAUUAAUCUCAUCUUUAUUUUUUGCAUACCGCUCUCUAUCCCUCUGCCUUUUUAGUUCCUUUGGGUCUGCAAAUCAUGAAACAGUUCAGCAGUUGUAAUAGGUUUUUUGCGCGUGGCGCUAUAGCGCGGCUGUUGGAGAUGCUCUAGAAAAC
Molecule: ribosomal RNA, 1391 nt
Filed under: Triticum aestivum (bread wheat)
Lineage: Eukaryota; Viridiplantae; Streptophyta; Magnoliopsida; Poales; Poaceae
Description: partial small subunit ribosomal RNA
Source: RNAcentral